UCCCUAGAGACGAAGAGUUCUCUAUAGCCAAAGGGACUACAUUCACAGGCAAAGCUAUCUUGGCAGCUAUACCAUCAGUGUUCCCUCAGAUUGAGUCUGUUCUAUUGGAUCCACAAUUGCCUUUUCCUCAUUUCAAGGCCAUACAAAAUCUUUAUGAAGAAGGUAUUGAGCUUCCUAAAGAUGCUGGUCUUUUACCUUUGCUUCCAAGACUCAUCAAAGCUGCUACUGAAGCUCGCGACGAUAUUCUCCAGUUCGAAGCACCAAUCCUCAUUAACAGUACCUACCUAUCUCUCCUUUUGAAUCUUCCAUUAUACUGUUUUGGUUGUGACUUGUGACUAAACUGACUUUUCUAAUAUCAUUCACAUUGGUUGAUUCAGGGGAUAGAUUUUCAUGGUUAAGAGACGACGAGUUUGCUCGCCAGACACUUGCGGGCCUUAAUCCUUACUGCAUUGAACUAGUUAAAGUAAGCUAUAAAUGCAUCUCAAUUAUUGAUAUAUUAUUUGUUUAACUCUUUUAGAGUAUGACUUGUUUUUUUAUUUUCAUAGUAAAACCUAUAAUUUAACACUAUUUUAAUUUGGCACCUUAGUAAAUUAUUGUUUCUUCCAUUUAAGUAAGAUAAAUGUUUAAGCUUUUUUUUAAUUAAAAAACAUAUAAUGUAUUAAAUAAACUAUUUAGAAACCUAGUAUACCCUUAUACUAUAAGUAAGUAUAUUUGUUUUAACUUUAAUAAUAACAAAUACAUGCAUUAAGAAAUGUUAUACAUAUUUUGAUUUGCAAAAAUCAAAGAAAAAAACCUUUGUAAAACAGAGUGAAUAUGAUUAAAAUAUAUUACUAUUUAUUUUAUCAACUAAAAAUAUCACUUUGACACAAUGCACAAAAAUUAAGAAAACAUUGAAGUAUACAUAUAUGCUCCUAUUUAAUAUGUGUUUAAUAAUUUAAUUAAUUUAAGAUUAAGGGUAAAAUUAGGAAUCUUUGUGUUAAAAAUGCAUUAGAAAUCUUAAGUGACAUUCUUUGUGAAACAAAAUUAAAACUCUAGAAUGACACUCUUUGUAAAAGAGAGAGAGUAUAAAAUAUUGGCAAUGAGUCUUAAAUAGGAUGUCAGUAAUUUUGUAUUGUUGUUACUUUCAGGAAUGGCCAAUGAAAAGCAAACUAGACCCGGCCAUUUAUGGUGAUCCCACCUCACUCAUUACUUGGGAAAUUGUGGAAAAAGAAGUUAAAGGAAACAUGUCAGUUGAUGAGG
RNAcentral lists this long non-coding RNA (1239 nucleotides) under Capsella grandiflora. RNAcentral's name for it is "long non-coding RNA (CGRA_LNC001260)". The record is from RNAcentral. Lineage: Eukaryota; Viridiplantae; Streptophyta; Magnoliopsida; Brassicales; Brassicaceae.